AUACCUUUCUCGGCCUUUUGGCUAAGAUCAAGUGUAGUAUCUGUUCUUAUCAGUUUAAUAUCUGAUAUGUGGGCCAUGUGCCCACAACGAUAUUAAAUUUAUUUUUUCUGGGGGACGGUCCAUCACAGUGGCUUGCCAUUGGGGCCCUCAGGUGUUGCACUACAGACCAGGCAGGCGCACCCCAA
Non-coding RNA from Triticum urartu, 185 nucleotides. Lineage: Eukaryota; Viridiplantae; Streptophyta; Magnoliopsida; Poales; Poaceae. The record is from Rfam.